Molecule: ribosomal RNA, 253 nt
Filed under: uncultured bacterium
Lineage: Bacteria
Description: partial 16S ribosomal RNA
Rfam family: Bacterial small subunit ribosomal RNA
Source: RNAcentral
UACGUAGGGCGCAAGCGUUGUCCGGAAUUAUUGAGCGUAAAGAGCUCGUAGGCGGUUUGUCGCGUCUGCUGUGAAAACCUAAGGCUCAACCUUGGGCUUGCAGUGGGUACGGGCAGACUAGAGUGCGGUAGGGGUGACUGGAAUUCCUGGUGUAGCGGUGGAAUGCGCAGAUAUCAGGAGGAACACCGAUGGCGAAGGCAGGUCACUGGGCCGCAACUGACGCUGAGGAGCGAAAGCAUGGGGAGCGAACAGG